Molecule: non-coding RNA, 21 nt
Filed under: Caenorhabditis elegans
Lineage: Eukaryota; Metazoa; Nematoda; Chromadorea; Rhabditida; Rhabditidae
Source: RNAcentral
UCAUCUGUAGGACAACAUUUA